Molecule: long non-coding RNA, 3338 nt
Filed under: Homo sapiens (human)
Lineage: Eukaryota; Metazoa; Chordata; Mammalia; Primates; Hominidae
Description: non-protein coding lnc-ZC3H15-2:1
Source: RNAcentral
CAUUCCUGAAUUUUUACACGGUGCUGAAUAGGUACUGAAAGUAAAAAUUUUAGUAACUAAAUCUGCCAGGUGCAAUCACAUGUGCUUGUAGUUCCAGGUAUUCUGGAUUCAAAGGCGGGAGGAUCACUUGGUCCCAGGAGUUUGAGCCUGCAGUGCACUGUGAUUGCAUCUGUGACCAGCCACUGCACUCCAACCUGGGCACAUAGUUGAGACCUUAUCUCUUUAAAAAAAAGCAGGGAAGGGGAUGAUUAAAUCUUCUUUGAUAAAUUGAUUUUGAGAAUAUUUCAUUGAAAAACUAGAUAAUUUGUGGAGAUACAUUGUCAGUUGUAUACAGACUAAUUAACUACAUUGGUGAUUCACUCCAUGGACCAUUUUCUUCAGAUAUGUUUGGAAUUAUUAUCUAUUCCUACACUUAUUGCACUAAUGACUCACCUUAGAAGGAAAAGAAAAAUUUUAAUUUACUUAAAAAAAAUUUUUUUUGAUUGAAUAGAUAAUUGUGUAUAUUUGUGGUUAAUUAUUAUUUUACACUCCAGACCUAUUUCUACACCUGUAGGGAAGAAACUUAAUCACUGAUAUCGUCAGCCUGUCAGAUACCACUGAUAUCUUCAGUCUAGUUUUAAGAAAAACUAGGACUAAGAAGAAGUAUAUAAUCAAGUUCAAGCUAAUCAUGGCCAUUUUUAAAUUACUUGGUCUUUUUUAAUACUUUUUCCCAGAGCAACCUUCUAAAUGGAAGGGCAAAGCCUCAACUAUCUAAAAUGCAGCUUUUAAGGACUCUUAGAUGUAUGAUAUGCCUUAUGUACAGGAGAUUCCAUCUAUACCUUGACACCCACACCACUCCCACCCCUGUUCUCUCUUCCAAGAAGGUUUUUGGCAGCAAAUAGUUCUCUUUAAUUAUUAUAUUUAAAUAUUUGUAUAUAUUUAAUUCACAUUAGGGAUAACAACUAAGAAUUAUUUAAUUGGCAGGUUUAUUAGGUAGUUGUUGAUUGAUGACAUGUAUAACAAUCCAAAUGGUAUGAUAGGUGAAGCCAAUGCAGUGGCACAUGCCUGUAAUCCCAGCACUUUGGGAUUGCUUGAGCCCAAGAGUUCGAGGUUGCAGUGAGCCAUGAUUGCAGUUAAAUGUUCCAAAAAUGAUUUUCAGAGCAUUACUGGACAUUUUAAUUAAAAAGAAUUAGUAUGAGGAGGUAGAGACAAUGGCAACUAUCUACUGCUACUCCCUGCCCCCAGCAAAAAAAGUGCCAUUCAGGGAGUAAGAAACAGCAAAAGUAGAAUUUAAGUUUUCCUGAAUGGAUUUAACCUGUUAGCAUUUAAAAAUAGUAUUUUGUGGUCAGUCAUCUUAAGCUUGUCUCUAUUUUAUCUAUAUUUACAUAGUUUUUAUUAGAAAUAACACCCAUUAAAAUUUAACAGAAACUUUGUAUGCUGCCUAGAACGCUAACUAGUUUAUUGGAAGUCAAAUAAAAAUAUAAUUUUUUUAAGGUUUCAAUAAGAUUCUUAAAUGUAUAAUGUAAUGUAUUACUGCUCAUUCUUAAACAGAAUUGCCUACUGCUAACAGUUUUGAAAAGAUUGUCCAUCUUUUUCAUCUCUUCCCUUUGAUAGUUGAAGAUCAGAAGACCAAACAUAAAAUUCACUGCCAGAACUUGUCCAGAGGCAAACAGUAAAAGCAUAGGAAAAAUAUUAAAGUGAGCCAAUAGGAUUUCAGAGGCCUAGAUAACAAACUUAAGGGCGGCUAACAGGUUUAUACUUGCACCUACAUUUUUAUAUCUGGCUUAAUUGCAUAAGUAAAUGAGCAUCAACAUUGAAAUAUAUUUUUCUUUUUCAAAAUGGGAGCUUAUAUAGUGACUUAUUAACAUCUAAAAGUGUAAAACCAAAUUUCAAAGAGGUAAAUUGAGAGAUAUGUUUGAUUAAUUCCUCUGGUGAAACAAAAUAGCUUUUCAUAGAUCUUUACUAAACUUUUUAAACAGCUUUAAGGUAUAUUUGACACAAUAAACUAUACAUAUUCAAAGUGUACAAUUUGGUGUUUGACAAAUAUAUUUAUUGUGAAAUCGUAACAAGAUAUAAUCUACAUAUUCAUCCCUCCCAAAAGAUGCUCCUUUGUAAUCCUUUCCUCCCCAAACACCAACCACCCACCAACUCCAGACAAGCACUGGUCACCAUAGAUUAGUUUAUAGUUUUUUAAUGAUUUUAUAUAAAUGGAAUCAUAUAAUAUGUACUUUUCAUUUUACUUCUACUCAGCAUAAUUAUUUGGAGAUGUAUCUAUGUUAUUGCAGAUAUCAGUACAUUCCUGUAAAUUGCUUAGUAGUAGUAUUUUGUAUGGAUCUGACACUGUCCAUUCACUUGUUGAUGGACUUGUGCAAGAUUUUAGCUAGAGUCAACUAUCAACUCUCCACAGCUUAUCACUGAAAUAACAAGCUUCGUGUGACCAUAUUAAAAAUUAUCAGUUUUACAUUUGAAAGGCCCAGUGCCAACCUGGAAAAAAUUGCUUGCAUUGAUGAGUAAUAAAUUCUACAUUUUGCAUAUUCUCACAACUGCAUGAAUUCAUUUCACAAUGUUGGCAAAUAAUCUGAAUUCUUGGUGGCACGGGUCCUCCGUAUGCUGAGCGCCGGUCCCCUGGGCCCACUUUUCUUUCUCUAUACUUUGUGUCUCUUUCUUUUCUCAGUCUCUCGUCCCACCCGACUGGAAACACCCACAGGUGUGGAGGGGCAGGCCACCCCUUCAUCUGGUGCCCAACGUGGGUGCUUUUCUCUAGGUUGAAGGUAUGCUCGAGCAUGAUCAUUGAGGACAAGUCGACGAGAUUCCCGAGUACGUCUACAGUCAGCCUUGUGACAUUUGAAGUUCUACAAUGAACCCGUCGGAGAUGCAAAGAAAAGCACCUCCACGGAGACAGAGACACCGCAGUCGAGCACCAUCGGCUCACAAGAUGAACAGUUGAUUAUUCUCUAUCCCUUGGCAAUCUCAUUCACUUUCAUGAUUUAAAUAAUUGCUUCCAUAUGAACAACUGUAUCUUCAGCCUCACAUGUCCAGUAAGCUACUUACUGCACAGCUCAACGUGAAUAUCCUGCCAGUUCUUCACAUUCCAUACUAAAGUUGUUGUUUUCUUUCCUAAAUCUUUUCCUCCUUUUUCUUUCUUUUUUUCCCCCUGUUAUUAAGAUUUUAUUAUCCAGCCAAGUGGACUAAAAAAUAUCUAUUGGUUAUUUUGCCAAACCAAGAUUUCUCCUACAUUCAUCCUCUUUUUUAGGGUUGAGUUAAUAUGUAUAAAGUGCUUAAAACAAUGCCUGGCUGAAGUGUUUGUUUUCCGUUAGGAGAGAGGGAGAGACAGGAAGAAAGUAGCAAAGAAUCUGAGA